AUUGAACGCUGGCGGCAUGCCUUACACAUGCAAGUCGAACGGCAGCACGGGUGCUUGCACCUGGUGGCGAGUGGCGAACGGGUGAGUAAUACAUCGGAACGUACCUUAUCGUGGGGGAUAACGAAGCGAAAGCUGUGCUAAUACUGCAUACGCUCUGCGCGGGAAAGCGGGGGAUCGAAAGACAUCCCGCGAUUAGAGCGGCCGAUGCCUGAGCUAGGUUGUUGGUGGGUAAAAGCCCACACAGGCGACAAUCAGUAGCUGGUCUGAGAGGACGAUCAGCCAAACUGGGACUUAGACACGGCCCAGACUCCUACUGGAUGCAGCAGUGGCGAAUUUUGGUCAAUGGGUGCAACCCUGAUCCAGCAAUGCCGCGUAAGUGGAGAAGGCCUUCGGGUUGUAAAGCUCUUUUGUCAGGGAAGAAACACCGGCUCUAACACAGUCCGGUAAUGACGGUACCUGAAGAAUAAGCACCGGCUAACUACGUGCCAGCCGCCGCCGUAA
This 501-nucleotide ribosomal RNA is filed under the name uncultured bacterium. Its description in RNAcentral is "partial 16S ribosomal RNA". It matches the Rfam family "Bacterial small subunit ribosomal RNA", at positions 30 to 523 of the family's 1533-position model. The record is from RNAcentral.